UACGUAGGGGGCGAGCGUUGUCCGAAGUUACUGGGCGUAAAGCGCGCGUAGGCGGGCCAGCAAGUGAGAAGUGAAAGGCUGGGGCUCAACCCCAGCAGUGCUUCUCAUACUGUUGGUCUUGAGGUCGGCAGGGAGAAGUGGAAUGGCUGGUGUAGCGGUGAAAUGCGUAGAUAUCAGUCGGAACACCGGUGGCGAAGGCGGCUUCUUGGGCCGCACCUGACGCUGAGGCGCGAAAGCCAGGGGAG
Molecule: ribosomal RNA, 245 nt
Filed under: uncultured bacterium
Lineage: Bacteria
Description: partial 16S ribosomal RNA
Rfam family: Bacterial small subunit ribosomal RNA
Source: RNAcentral